CCUACGGGAGGCGGCAGUAAGGAAUAUUGGUCAAUGGAGGCAACUCUGAACCAGCCAUGCCGCGUGCAGGAUGACGGCCCUAUGGGUUGUAAACUGCUUUUAUACAAGAGAAAACCCUGGUACGUGUACCAGGUUGAUAGUAUUGUAAGAAUAAGCAUCGGCUAACUUCGUGCCAGCAGCCGCGGUAAGACGAAGGAUGCAAGCGUUAUCCGGAUUCAUUGGGUUUAAAGGGUGCGUAGGCGGACUGAUAAGUCAGUGGUGAAAUCUCUUUGCUUAACAAAGAAACUGCCAUUGAUACUGUCGGUCUAGAGUAUAGAUGACGUUGGCGGAAUAUGACAUGUAGUGGUGAAAUACUUAGAUAUGUCAUAGAACACCGAUUGCGAAGGCAGCUAACGAAACUAUAACUGACGCUGAGGCACGAAAGUGCGGGGAUCAAACAGGAUUAGAUACCCUGGUAGUCCGCACCGUAAACGAUGAUUACUCGUUGUUGGCGAUAUGACAGUCAGCGACCAAGCGAAAGCGAUAAGUAAUCCACCUGGGGAGUACGCCGGCAACGGUGAAACUCAAAGGAAUUGACGGNGNGAGAGAGCGAGGACGACGACGAGGGAGGAGG
Molecule: ribosomal RNA, 613 nt
Filed under: uncultured bacterium
Lineage: Bacteria
Description: bacterial SSU rRNA
Rfam family: Bacterial small subunit ribosomal RNA
Source: RNAcentral